GCCAGGCAUGGUGGCCCACGCCUGUCAUCCCAGCAACAUGGGAGGCUGAGGCAGGAGGAUCGCAAGUUGGAGUGCAGCCUCAGCAACUUAAUGAGAUCUUAUCUUAA
RNAcentral lists this small RNA (107 nucleotides) under Marmota monax (woodchuck). The record is from RNAcentral. Lineage: Eukaryota; Metazoa; Chordata; Mammalia; Rodentia; Sciuridae.